Zingiber officinale is the source of this 512-nucleotide long non-coding RNA. RefSeq lists it as uncharacterized. NCBI's taxonomy places the organism in Eukaryota, Viridiplantae, Streptophyta, Magnoliopsida, Zingiberales, Zingiberaceae. The transcript is spliced from 3 exons. The record is from RefSeq and is a predicted model, not a curated record.
AGGUUGCAUCACAUGAUUUUCACGUGCACAGACCAGGCCAGAAAACACAGAAACGCAGAAACGCAGCGACGGCGCCCUAACCUCACGUCUCGCGACCCAACACCUCCGGCAUCCUGCGAGCGGAGCGUCGCGUCCUCUCGCGACCCUCCUGUGACCUCCCUGAGCAGAACCCAGCGAGCCGCCGGCGACGACCCUCUUCUCCUACUCCUCUGAGCCCUCACCCUCUCUCAAAUUCCUCAACCUCUGCCGCUGUUAGACCUCCCUGAGCAGAACCCAACGAUCCGCCGGCGACGACCCUCUUCUCCUACUCCUCAGAGCCCUCGCCCUCUCUCAAACUCCUCAACCUCUGCCGGCCUUAGGGCUUAUUUGUGGUGCAAUUCUCAUUUGUGCAGUUUGCUGGACCACCUCCUACGGCCUCCUCUUAGACAUCAACGAUCUCGUUCCAAAUAUUUUGGGAGUCAUUUUGGCUUUUGUCCAACUGGUCAUCAUGCUUGUUACUAUAGAUCCACACC